This 465-nucleotide ribosomal RNA is filed under the name Anurogryllus muticus. RNAcentral describes it as "partial 16S ribosomal RNA". It matches the Rfam family "Bacterial large subunit ribosomal RNA", at positions 1831 to 2561 of the family's 2925-position model. The record is from RNAcentral. Lineage: Eukaryota; Metazoa; Arthropoda; Insecta; Orthoptera; Gryllidae.
UCUUCUUGAAUAGAUUUGAGGUCGUGCCUGCCCACUGAUUUUUGAAGGGCCGCGGUAUUUUGACCGUGCAAAGGUAGCAUAAUCAUUAGUCUUUUAAUUGAAGGCUGGAAUGAAGGGUUUGACGAAACAAUCGCUGUCUCGGGAUUAUUAAUUGAAUUUUACUUUUAAGUUAAAAGGCUUAAAUAUGAGUGGGGGACGAGAAGACCCUAUAGAUCUUUAUAAGAAAUCUUUUAUUUUUUGUGUAGAUGUGUUAUGAAUAAUUUAUUAUUUUUUAUUUCGUUGGGGUGAUGAGAGAAUAUAUUAACUUCUUUUUAUGGAACUUUGAUAGGUGGAUUUUUGAUCCUGUAUUAUGGAAUUAAGAAUAAGAUACCUUAGGGAUAACAGCGUAAUUUCGUUGGAGAGUUCUUAUCGAUAAUGAAGAUUGCGACCUCGAUGUUGGAUUAAGAAUAUAUUUGGGUGCAGAAG